CCUUCAUCCUUGCAACGAACUUGAGCCAUUGAUUCAGUAAAACAUUCAAUGACACAUGCUUGUUGUUAGGAUCAAAAGA
Molecule: microRNA precursor, 79 nt
Filed under: Papio anubis (olive baboon)
Lineage: Eukaryota; Metazoa; Chordata; Mammalia; Primates; Cercopithecidae
Also listed under: 1 other name
Description: mir-891 microRNA precursor family
Rfam family: mir-891 microRNA precursor family
Source: Rfam by way of RNAcentral